Non-coding RNA from Coturnix japonica (Japanese quail), 1487 nucleotides. Lineage: Eukaryota; Metazoa; Chordata; Aves; Galliformes; Phasianidae. The record is from RefSeq and is a predicted model, not a curated record.
UGGGGGUCCCACACCAUGGGGUUCCAUAUGGCUGAGCCCCAUCUAAGGUGGCCCCACAUUUAAGGUGGUCCCCAUUUAAGGUGGUCCCUAUUUAAGGUGGCCCCACAUUUAAGGUAGUCCCACGUUUAAGGUGGUCCUACAUUUAAGGUGGCCCCUCAUUAAGGUGGACCUUAUUUAAGGUGGCCCCACAUUUAAGGUGGCCCCUAUUUAAGGUGGUCCUAGAAUAUGAGCAGAGCCCCAUUUAAGGUAGCCCCACAUUUAAGGUGGUCCUUAUUUAAGGUGGCCCCACAUUUCAGGUGGUCCCUAUAUAAGGUGGUCCUAUAUUUAAGGUGGCCCCUUAUUUAAGGCUGUCUCACACUUUGAGGUUCCAUAUGGCAGAGCCCCAUUUAAGGUGGUCCCACAUUUAAGGAGAUCCCUAUUUAAGGUGGUCCCACAUUUGAUUCCAAUGGGGGUCCCACACUUUGAGGUUCCAUAUGGGGGAGCCCCAUUUAAGGUGGUCCCACAUUUAAGGUGGUCCUUAUUUAAGAUGGCCCCACAUUUAAGGUAGCGCCCCAUUUAAGGUGGUCCCACGUUUAAGGUAGCUUAAGGUGGUCCCUAUUUAAGGUGGUUCUUAUUUAAGGCGGUCCCUAUUUAAGGUGGUUCCUAUUUAAGGAGGUCCCUAUUUAAGGUGGUCCUUAUUUAAGGGGGUCCCUAUUUAAGGCGGUCCCUAUUUAAGGUGGUCCCACAUUUAAGGUGGCACCUAUUUAAGGUGGUCCCUAUUUAAGGUGGUCCCUAUUUAGGGUGGUCCCUAUUUAAGGUGGUUCCUAUUUAAGGUGGCCCCUAUUUAAGGUGGUCCCUAUUUAAGGUGGUCCCACAUUUAAGGUGGCCACUAUUUAAGGUGGUCCCUAUUUAAGGUGGUCCCUAUUUAAGUUGGUCCCUAUUUAUGGUGGUCCCUAUUUAAGGUGGUUCCUAUUUAAGGUGGUCCCACAUUUAAGGUUGUCCCUAUUUAAGGCGGUCCCUAUUUAAGGUGGUCCCACAUUUAAGGUGGUCCCUAUUUAAGGUGGUCCCUAUUUAAGGUGGUCCUUAUUUAAGGUGGUCCCUAUUUAAGGUGGUCCCUAUUUAAGGUGGUCCCUAUUUAAGGCGGUCCCUAUUUAAGGUGGUCCCUAUUUAAGGUGGCCCCAAUUUAAGGUGGCCCCACACUUGAUCCCAAUGGGGUCACUAUGUGAAUCCCCCCCAAUUUUGGGGGGUGGGGGGAUGGAAACUCCUCCUUUCUCCCCAUACCCUGAGCCUCCCCCCCUUCCCCUUUUCCCCCCCCCAGGCUUCCCCCAGCCCCGGGGGUCUCUCAGCCCUACAGGACCCCGAAUGCUUCGCUCACCUGCUGCGCUUCUAUGAUGGGAUCUGCCGCUGGGAGGAGGGCAGCCCCACUCCUGUCCUACACGUGGGGUGGGCCACCUUCCUCGUGCAGUCCCUGGGCCGCUUCGAUGGGCAGGUGGGAUUUGGGGGGGGUC